AACGCACGAGACCUGCGGACCUGCGGAGGGAUCAUUACCGAGUUCGUGCCCCGCAGCGGGGUAGAUCUCCCACCCUUGUGUAUCUUCGUACCGUUCUGUUGCUUUGGCAGGCCGCUCAGGCUUCGGCUCGACCACCGGCUCCCCCAGGGGGGCGGGUGUGCGCCUGCCAGAGGACCCCCCAACUCUUGUUUGUCAGUGUCGUCUGAGUACUAUAACCAAUCGUUAAAACUUUCAGCAAUG
RNAcentral lists this unclassified non-coding RNA (240 nucleotides) under soil metagenome. RNAcentral's name for it is "partial contains 5.8S ribosomal RNA, internal transcribed spacer 2, and large subunit ribosomal RNA". The record is from RNAcentral.